Non-coding RNA from Phrynosoma platyrhinos (Desert horned lizard), 74 nucleotides. NCBI's taxonomy places the organism in Eukaryota, Metazoa, Chordata, Lepidosauria, Squamata, Phrynosomatidae. The record is from the annotation of a GenBank genome assembly.
GAGCCAGUAUGAUGUAAUGGUCUGAGCAUUGGACUACCACUCUAGAGACCAGGGUUCAAAUCCCUGCUGAAACA